This 204-nucleotide long non-coding RNA is filed under the name Actinidia chinensis (golden kiwifruit). Its description in RNAcentral is "long non-coding RNA (ACHI_LNC003860)". The record is from RNAcentral. Lineage: Eukaryota; Viridiplantae; Streptophyta; Magnoliopsida; Ericales; Actinidiaceae.
AGAACACCACCAUGCAAGUUGCAUCCAACUUAUCGAAAACAACACAAAUCUCAACAUACUUGCCUAGAGGUGCAGACAAUUCAGACGAAAUGGAAACAUACUUACCAAAGAGGACAAUAAAAUAUAUGUUAUAAAGUGACAUCAGAUCUAAGGACAGGCAAUACCUACGACAAGCAGAGGUCACCUCUAACAUGAUGAACAAGC